This 497-nucleotide ribosomal RNA is filed under the name uncultured bacterium. Its description in RNAcentral is "partial 16S ribosomal RNA". It matches the Rfam family "Bacterial small subunit ribosomal RNA", at positions 28 to 507 of the family's 1533-position model. The record is from RNAcentral.
GAUGAACGCUGGCGGCGUGCCUAAUACAUGCAAGUCGAGCGAACGGACGAGAAGCUUGCUUCUCUGAUGUUAGCGGCGGACGGGUGAGUAACACGUGGAUAACCUACCUAUAAGACUGGGAUAACUUCGGGAAACCGGAGCUAAUACCGGAUAAUAUUGUGAACCGCAUGGUUCAAAAGUGAAAGACGGUCUUGCUGUCACUUAUAGAUGGAUCCGCGCUGCAUUAGCUAGUUGGUAAGGUAACGGCUUACCAAGGCAACGAUGCAUAGCCGACCUGAGAGGGUGAUCGCCCACACUGGAACUGAGACCCGGUCCAGACUCCUACGGGAGGCAGCAGUAGGGAAUCUUCCGCAAUGGGCGAAAGCCUGACGGAGCAACGCCGCGUGAGUGAUGAAGGUCUUCGGAUCGUAAAACUCUGUUAUUAGGGAAGAACAUAUGUGUAAGUAACUGUGCACAUCUUGACGGUACCUAAUCAGAAAGCCACCGCUAACUACGUG